CUCUUUAUAGUUUAAUAAAAAUAUCAAAUUGUGGUUUUGAAGAUUUUUAGGAGA
This 54-nucleotide transfer RNA is filed under the name Leptotrombidium pallidum. RNAcentral's name for it is "tRNA-His". The record is from RNAcentral. Lineage: Eukaryota; Metazoa; Arthropoda; Arachnida; Trombidiformes; Trombiculidae.